This is a transfer RNA of Camelus ferus (Wild Bactrian camel), 72 nucleotides long. It matches the Rfam family "tRNA". From Rfam's summary of the family: Transfer RNA (tRNA) molecules are approximately 80 nucleotides in length. Their secondary structure includes four short double-helical elements and three loops (D, anti-codon, and T loops). The record is from Rfam. NCBI's taxonomy places the organism in Eukaryota, Metazoa, Chordata, Mammalia, Artiodactyla, Camelidae.
GAGGGUAUAGCUCAGUGGUAGAGCACAUGCUUAGCAUGCACAAGGUCCUGGGUUCAGUCCCCAGUACCUCCA